CUGCUGCCUCCCGUAGGAGUCUGGUCCGUGUCUCAGUCCCAAUGUGGCCGUCCACCCUCUCAGGCCGGCUAUGGAUCGUCGGUUUGGUGGGCCGUUACCCCGCCAACUGCCUAAUCCAACGCGGACCCAUCCUAUGCCGCCUCAGCUUUUCACACCGUACCAUGCGGUACUGUGCGCUUAUGCGGUAUUAGCACCCGUUUCCGGAUGUUAUCCCCCUGCAUAGGGCAGGUUGUCCACGCGUUACUCACCCGUCCGCCGCUAA
This 262-nucleotide ribosomal RNA is filed under the name uncultured bacterium. Its description in RNAcentral is "partial 16S ribosomal RNA". The record is from RNAcentral.